UACGGAGGGUGCGGGCGUUAAUCGGAAUUACUGGGCGUAAAGCGCGCGUAUGCGGUUUUAUAAGUCGGAUGUGAAAUCCCCGAGCUCAACUUGGGAACUGCAUUCGAUACUGUCUAACUAGAGUAUGGUAGAGGAAAGUGGAGUUCCCGGUGUAGCGGUGAAAUGCGUAGAUAUCGGGAGGAACAUCAGUGGCGAAGGCGGCUUUCUGGACCAAUACUGACGCUGGGGCGCGAAAGCGUGGGUAGCAAACAGG
This 253-nucleotide ribosomal RNA is filed under the name uncultured bacterium. RNAcentral describes it as "partial 16S ribosomal RNA". It matches the Rfam family "Bacterial small subunit ribosomal RNA", at positions 524 to 776 of the family's 1533-position model. The record is from RNAcentral.